Molecule: long non-coding RNA, 1274 nt
Organism: Thunnus maccoyii (southern bluefin tuna)
Lineage: Eukaryota; Metazoa; Chordata; Actinopteri; Scombriformes; Scombridae
Exons: 3
Source: RefSeq, a predicted model, not a curated record
GUGUGUUUCUUGUCAGAGGAGGUGUGUCGCAAGAAGUGGAAGGGCCUGAGGGACACCUAUUUGAAGGAAAGGAGAAAAGAGUGUGAAAGAAAGAGCGGGUCAGCAGCAGGGCCAGUUAAGAGGUGAAAGUGCUCUGCGGUCCUGUUUUUCCUCGACCCCUUUGUUACACCAAGAGACACCAGUAGUAACAUGGGGCGGGUGGUCGAGGAAGACAGGACCACAGAGUAUGAGGAGCAGGUGUCAGACGCAGCAGCAGGGCCGUCAGGUAUUGACAUCGGAGAUAAGCCAGAUCCUCUGAAGCCAGUGAGGCAGAGUCAAGUGUUGCUGCAGUUUCUGCUGCUGCAGUUUCUGCUGCAACACCACCCACAGUGACCAGGAGGACCCGGAAGAGGACCAGGGGGAGUGACAGGGAGAGGGAAAUAGAAGCAUUCCUCCUGGAGGCUUUGAAAAGGCCGGCUCCACCUGCUCCACCUCCCCCCUCAGAGGACGAGCUUUUCCUCAAAAGCCUGGUUCAUUCCCUGCAAAGACUGUCGCCUCAGCAGAAGGAAUUUGUUAAAUUUCAGAUACACAAACUAAUUUAUGAGCCCAGCUCCGUAGUUCUCAAUUUGGAACCAGCAGAAUAGGUUAUCAGGGCGACAGUCUUUGCAGUGAACAAACCAGGCCUUACAUCAUUAUUUGUUUUUAUUUUUUAUUUUUUUAAUUUUCUCAUACACACACACACACACAUACACACACUCCUGGCCUCCUCUGAGUCUGUCCCUGCCUGUUGCCACUGUUUGUCAUCCAUCCAUGUUCAGGGGCUCCAUGCUGAUGUUUUUUAUUUUUCAUAUUUUUAAAAUAGUAUUUUGUGUGUCCUUUUUUUGAGGCACUUUGUUGAGAACCAUGAAUGGUAGUGUUCUUUUUAAAAAAACAACAAAAAAAUCAAAAAAUGAAAGCACUUUAUUUCCGUGAUUUACUUCAUGUUCUUUAUUUACAAAAAUAUGGUUGACACACAAAGGAAACAACCUUAUGUGCAUUUCCUAUGCUGUAAAAUAGAUAUUUUGUUCAUAUCAAAAGUUCAGGUCAAUAUCAGGUUUAUAUGAUAAUUUAUCUGCAGUGUACAAAUGGUUUAUGUUUGGUUAGCUGCUAAUUGUGUUCAUACUCCCAGUCUCAAUAUCUUCACUGGAUAUACUUAAAGACAGCUUAUCACAGUGAUGUCUUUUUUUUUUAAAUGUUAUUGUGUUGUGUUGUAAUGCAGUGCAGACAUGCUAAAUUAAAGCUGUAUUAUCAAUCAA